RNAcentral lists this ribosomal RNA (433 nucleotides) under uncultured bacterium. RNAcentral describes it as "partial 16S ribosomal RNA". It matches the Rfam family "Bacterial small subunit ribosomal RNA", at positions 29 to 507 of the family's 1533-position model. The record is from RNAcentral.
AACGAACGCUGGCGGCAUGCCUAACACAUGCGAGUCGAACGAGACCUUCGGGUCUAGUGGCGCACGGGUGCGUAACGCGUGGGAAUCUGCCCUUCGGUUGGGAAUAACUGAGAGAAAUUUCAGCUAAUACCUUAUAAUGUCUUCGGACCAAAGAUUUAUCGCCGAGGGAUGAGCCCGCGUAGGAUUAGGUAGUUGGUGGGGUAAUGGCCUACCAAGCCGACGAUCCUUAGCUGGUCUGAGAGGAUGAUCAGCCACACUGGGACUGAGACACGGCCCAGACUCCUACGGGAGGCAGCAGUGGGGAAUAUUGGACAAUGGGCGAAAGCCUGAUCCAGCAAUGCCGCGUGAGUGAUGAAGGCCUUAGGGUUGUAAAGCUCUUUUACCCGGGAUGAUAAUGACAGUACCGGGAGAAUAAGCUCCGGCUAACUCCGUG